This 742-nucleotide unclassified non-coding RNA is filed under the name Hevea brasiliensis (rubber tree). The record is from RNAcentral. Lineage: Eukaryota; Viridiplantae; Streptophyta; Magnoliopsida; Malpighiales; Euphorbiaceae.
AAAAAAAAAAAAUCUUUAUAUAUAUAAUUGACGGGAGCACAAGCUAUGGAAUUGCCAGUUACAUAGGAGAGACUCUCUAAGUGAUGAAUGAUUGUGGAGCUUUUUGAGAUGGGCCAUUUGCUACAAUUUCUUUCCAUCUCAUCACCUCUAGUGAUGUGUAAUGCACUCCAAUUUGAUUUCUGCUUUAGUUUCUGCAUUGUGUUCAUUUGUUACACUUUUUCCUUCUUCCUUGUUCUUCCCCCAUAAUACUCCAUAAAGUCCACCCACCAACAAAAUUGCCCCACCAACACUUCCCAAAUGAAGAGUUUCUUUCCACAAGAAUACAGAGAAAAUGGCAGUAAUGAUGAGUGCUAAUGGAGAGAACAUUGAAGCGAAAACUGGUCCUUUCUUCUGUAUUGUCCAAACUUGCAGCCAGUAAGAAAUUCCAUUCACAGUUAUGCCACAAUAGGCCACUGCCAAAAGUUGAACAUCCCAGCCAAGCUUCCAACCUGAAGGAUUCCUCUCCACAGCCACGGCCCAACAAGCUGAUUGUAUGCAGGAAAAGAAGCAUUGCAGAGCAGUAAGACGAAGCUUGGCUGGAUAUUGCUUCACAAUGGGACCCUGCAACACAAACCAUAAAGACCAAAGUAUGUUGGCUGAGAUCAUCAGGAGGGAACCUUUAAUCCAUUCUCCACUAGAGCAACAACCCUUUAUUGAUGAGUCUUGAAUAUGAUCAUUUGGAGUGGCUUGAUUCCAGUUCAUA